UGCGAAACUCGAAUGAACGAACGGGGAGAUUCAUCGUCACUCCCGGGCGUGGCGGUGCGCUUUAGAUACCUUCGAUCUCGAUCGUGCGGUACUUUGCGCGCCGUUACUACGCUCCGGGACGGCGUGCACUUCUCCUUUAGUAAUGCAUCGCGACCCGUUCGAUGUCGGUCUAAGCUCCGUUCGGGAGUCGCUGUCGUUUAUCUUUCGGGAUUGCGGCGGCGACCGUGACGGUUGCCGACCGGCUGUCGGACGGUAGAACAACGGAUCGCGCACGCGUUUAUAACGCGUCCGGCCCGACGCAAGGUUGCGUCGUCUCACUCCCGUCCUGCCCGAGCGCGGGCGGGGGUGCGGCGCGCCUGUCGUCGCCGCCGUGCUGUCUCGGACUGUGCGCGCACCGUGUCUGC
RNAcentral lists this ribosomal RNA (404 nucleotides) under Erateina siliquata. RNAcentral describes it as "eukaryotic LSU rRNA". Lineage: Eukaryota; Metazoa; Arthropoda; Insecta; Lepidoptera; Geometridae. The record is from RNAcentral.